This 427-nucleotide ribosomal RNA is filed under the name uncultured bacterium. Its description in RNAcentral is "bacterial SSU rRNA". It matches the Rfam family "Bacterial small subunit ribosomal RNA", at positions 355 to 775 of the family's 1533-position model. The record is from RNAcentral.
UGGGGAAUCUUGCGCAAUGGGCGAAAGCCUGACGCAGCAACGCCGCGUGAGCGAAGAAGGCCUUCGGGUUGUAAAGCUCUGUCAGGAGGAAAGAAGGCACCUGGGUUAACAGCCCAAGGGCUGACGGUACCUCCAAAGGAAGCCACGGCUAACUACGUGCCAGCAGCCGCGGUAAUACGUAGGUGGCAAGCGUUGUCCGGAAUCAUUGGGCGUAAAGAGCGCGUAGGUGGCUUGUCAGGUCUGGUGUGAAAUUUCGGGGCUCAACCCCGAGCCUGCAUCGGAAACCGGCUUGCUAGAGUCUGGGAGAGGAGAGUGGAAUUCCUGGUGUAGCGGUGAAAUGCGUAGAUAUCAGGAGGAACACCGGUAGCGAAGGCGGCUCUCUGGAACAGUACUGACGCUGAGGCGCGAAAGCUAGGGGAGCGAACAG